GGUUUUGACCCAGUAUCUCAAGGUACUACUGGUGUCCGACCUACCACUAGUGGUUGUGUCGAAAACCUUAAUUUUUGGAACGCCUUUUCGGGGUAUCCGGAAGGGCAAU
This 109-nucleotide small RNA is filed under the name Ancylostoma caninum (dog hookworm). RNAcentral describes it as "SL2 RNA". It matches the Rfam family "SL2 RNA". Rfam says of the family: This family represents SL2 RNA. SL2 RNA is involved in trans splicing in lower eukaryotes. Lineage: Eukaryota; Metazoa; Nematoda; Chromadorea; Rhabditida; Ancylostomatidae. The record is from Rfam by way of RNAcentral.